Molecule: long non-coding RNA, 724 nt
Organism: Pan troglodytes (chimpanzee)
Lineage: Eukaryota; Metazoa; Chordata; Mammalia; Primates; Hominidae
Exons: 4
Source: RefSeq, a predicted model, not a curated record
AGAAGACAACAAACCGUCAUGGAGAAUACUAAUAACGCCGAGAGCCCAUUCCAGCACUCUGCCAGGAGGUCCUUCUCGUUAAAGUAAUAACAGCAGAAAUGGGACCCUUAAAGCCUGCUGAUUUUUGACUAAGUCGUUGUCAAGGGUAAUCUGGGGCAUUUUAAAUAAGUCAUGGCUUUUAUGAAAGACGAAAAUGAUGUGAUAUCGAAAGAAUGACUUACAGGGUCAAGUUUUACAUGAAUAAAUAUGAAUAAAAUAAUUAGCUAUGACGCCAUGGAUCGGGAUAAACUGGUUCUCUCAGCAACAUUUGUGAAAAGUAGCUGAGUUAGAACCCGCUAGACAACCUGUUCUCAAGUUCUCAUGAGCUAUACCUCAGGUAGUUGAAAGUCGGAAGCUCGGCCUCCUCAUCAAACCCAGCAAGGAUGCCUGGGCCACUAUUCGAGUGUUACAAGCCCAUAUGACUAAGUUCUACCUCUGGAAGCAACGACGAUAGGGCGAUAAUCAUUUUGCAUCCUCCCAGGGAUCAGCUUUGAUACAAAAAGACUGACAUGAGUAGUGGGAAGAGCCCUGGCCCUUCCUAGGAUGCCUAAACACUGCUGUAUGGACUUGGGAAGUUACAGAUGCAACAUGACUGGGUCUCAAUAUCUCUAUCUUGAAAUUUUUGAAAAUGACAAUGAUAGCUCCACUUGGAAUUGAUAGGAAGAUUAAAGACAUAAUAUAUGUG